UGGUUAGGUCAUGAGGGUAGAGCCUUCAGGAAUGGGAUUUGUGCUUUUACAAAAGAUACCCCACAGAGCUCCCUAGCCCCUUCAGCCAUGCAAGGACACAAAGAGAGGUCUGCAAGAGGAUGAGGACCUUCAACUGACCAGGCUGGCACCCUGAUCUCAGGAGUUCCAUUCUCCAUAACUAAGAUACUGGUGGACACAAUGCUGAGCAAAAGAAAAUGCAACCAAUCCCUGUUGUCAGUCAAGGAGAGGAGACAGAUGUUAAUUAACUAAACCCAAGAAUCAAAUAAGCUGAGCUAUUGUAAGCAGGUGAAGCUGAUAAAGGACCAUGAAUUUGAGUGACACCCACUCCCCACCACCCCAGGACAUAAGACCCUUACUGGAUCUAACUGAAGACUCUUUUCUGAUUAAUGAUGAACAAAGAAUGGGUCUACUUGUUUUAACCAAUUAUGUAAAGACCUAUUGACUCAUUUUAUCCAAUCCACAGUGCUAGCUUUUGAUGCCUAAUUAGUAGGAACACUGUGUGUUCUUUCUGGUACUUUUGAGUGCCUGGCCCCAGCCAGGAUUUCUUGUUUCCUUGCCCGGCAAGAAAAUAUUUGGUUUUUAA
This is a long non-coding RNA of Leopardus geoffroyi (Geoffroy's cat), 604 nucleotides long. RefSeq lists it as uncharacterized. The transcript is spliced from 3 exons. The record is from RefSeq and is a predicted model, not a curated record. Lineage: Eukaryota; Metazoa; Chordata; Mammalia; Carnivora; Felidae.